AUAAAGUAUCCACCCCCACCCAGAUUGGAUAACUGAAGUCAAACAAAAGAACCUCAUAUUAUCCUCAAAUUAAGGAUCACAAUGGCACACGUCGUCAGUUAAAAGGCACAGUAUAUAACAACCCAAGUUCUUAUGUUUUUUUUCCAUUUUAAAGUUAAAUCUUUCCCAACUCCAUUCUUAAAACUUCUACUUUGUCUUCCUUUUGCGAUUCAUUACAAGACCCUCAUAUUUUUUUUGCUUCUAUUCCCGUUUGAAGAUUACAAAAGUCAUAAUGAUCAUUCCAGAUACAUUAUAACGAGUUCAGUUGAACCCGUUUAUCAUGUUUGUUUUGGUGAUAUGACCUUCUCUUAUUUAGUCGUGCUCCCUUGAGAACUUCGUCUCCUUGAGCAUCAAAAACAUCAAGAAAGUCAUGAAAAGCACUAAGUUGUAGAUUUCAUGUUAUGGAUCCUACGGAGAAGAGUGAUCCAAAUUGUUUUUUUAUAAUGAAUUGUCUUUUUAACUUAUGAUUCAUGUAUCCCAAAGUAAUUUUAUGUUUGAUUGUAUUACAAAGAUUUGUUGCAAAUAUACUUUUCGUUAGAUGAUUUCAAAUUUCCUUUUGCUUUCUUUUCUUUCUAUUCUUCAUGGUUCAAGAUAGUUAUAUCUUAU
This 645-nucleotide long non-coding RNA is filed under the name Nicotiana benthamiana. RNAcentral's name for it is "long non-coding RNA (NBEN_LNC036915)". Lineage: Eukaryota; Viridiplantae; Streptophyta; Magnoliopsida; Solanales; Solanaceae. The record is from RNAcentral.